UGCAGCUACAUGACUGUGUGAAGAUAGCCA
Molecule: non-coding RNA, 30 nt
Filed under: Rattus norvegicus (Norway rat)
Lineage: Eukaryota; Metazoa; Chordata; Mammalia; Rodentia; Muridae
Source: RNAcentral